This 256-nucleotide ribosomal RNA is filed under the name uncultured bacterium. RNAcentral describes it as "partial 16S ribosomal RNA". It matches the Rfam family "Bacterial small subunit ribosomal RNA", at positions 29 to 289 of the family's 1533-position model. The record is from RNAcentral.
ACGAACGCUGGCGGCGUGCUUAACACAUGCAAGUCGAACGGUAAGGCCCUUUCGGGGUACACGAGUGGCGAACGGGUGAGUAACACGUGGGUAAUCUGCCCUGCACUUCGGGAUAAGCCUGGGAAACCGGGUCUAAUACCGGAUAUGAGCUCCUGCCGCAUGGUGGGGGUUGGAAAGUUUUUCGGUGCAGGAUGAGUCCGCGGCCUAUCAGCUUGUUGGUGGGGUAAUGGCCUACCAAGGCGACGACGGGUAGCCG